GUGCCAUGGCGAUGAAUGAGUCCCAUAUAUUAAAUUUUCAUUUCACUUUGUCAGCAAUCUUCUUGGUUACUUGUUGAUCAUUAAAGAAUGGAAGAUUU
Non-coding RNA from Thalictrum thalictroides, 98 nucleotides. The record is from the annotation of a GenBank genome assembly. Lineage: Eukaryota; Viridiplantae; Streptophyta; Magnoliopsida; Ranunculales; Ranunculaceae.